UACAGAGGUGGCAAGCGUUGUUCGGAAUUACUGGGCGUAAAGGGCGCGUAGGCGGCUUUUUAAGUCAGACGUGAAAUCCCCCGGCUUAACCUGGGAACUGCGUCUGAUACUGGGAAGCUUGAGUUCGGGAGAGGGAUGCAGAAUUCCAGGUGUAGCGGUGAAAUGCGUAGAUAUCUGGAGGAAUACCGGUGGCGAAGGCGGCAUCCUGGACCGAGAUUGACACUGAUGAGCGAAAGCUAGGGGAGCAAACGGG
Molecule: ribosomal RNA, 253 nt
Filed under: uncultured bacterium
Lineage: Bacteria
Description: partial 16S ribosomal RNA
Rfam family: Bacterial small subunit ribosomal RNA
Source: RNAcentral